This 548-nucleotide ribosomal RNA is filed under the name uncultured bacterium. RNAcentral describes it as "bacterial SSU rRNA". It matches the Rfam family "Bacterial small subunit ribosomal RNA", at positions 354 to 896 of the family's 1533-position model. The record is from RNAcentral.
GUGGGGAAUAUUGCACAAUGGGGGGAACCCUGAUGCAGCCAUGCCGCGUGAAUGAAGAAGGCCUUCGGGUUGUAAAGUUCUUUCGGUGACGAGGAAGGUUGGUAGGUUAAUAGCCUAUCAAAUUGACGUUAAUCACAGAAGAAGCACCGGCUAACUCCGUGCCAGCAGCCGCGGUAAUACGGGGGGUGCGAGCGUUAAUCGGAAUAACUGGGCGUAAAGGGCACGCAGGCGGUGACUUAAGUGAGAUGUGAAAGCCCCGAGCUUAACUUGGGAAUUGCAUUUCAUACUGGGUCGCUAGAGUACUUUAGGGAGGGGUAGAAUUCCACGUGUAGCGGUGAAAUGCGUAGAGAUGUGGAGGAAUACCGAAGGCGAAGGCAGCCCCUUGGGAAUGUACUGACGCUCAUGUGCGAAAGCGUGGGGAGCAAACAGGAUUAGAUACCCUGGUAGUCCACGCUGUAAACGAUGUCGAUUUGGGGAUUGGGCUUUGAGCUUGGUGCCCGUAGCUAACGUGAUAAAUCGACCGCCUGGGGAGUACGGCCGCAAGGUUA